This 468-nucleotide ribosomal RNA is filed under the name uncultured bacterium. RNAcentral's name for it is "partial 16S ribosomal RNA". It matches the Rfam family "Bacterial small subunit ribosomal RNA", at positions 28 to 507 of the family's 1533-position model. The record is from RNAcentral.
GACGAACGCUGGCGGCGUGCUUAACACAUGCAAGUCGAACGGAAACGCCCUGCUUUUUUGCGCUUCUCGAGUGGCGAACGGGUGAGUAACACGUAAGUAACCUGACCUUCUCUUUGGGAUGACUUCAGGAAACUGAAGCUACUACCAGAUAGGAUCUCAUGCUCCAGGGUGGGCGUUGGAAAGUUUCGGCUGUUGGGGUUGGACUGGCGGAUUACGAGCUUGUUGGUGGGGUAGUGGCAUACCAAGGCUUUGACGGUUAGCCGGCCUGAGAGGGUGGCCGGCGACAUUAGGCCUGCGAGAGGGCGCAGACGCGAAUGGUAGGCAACAGUGGGGAAUAUUGUACAGUGGGCGGGAGUCUGAUGCAGAAACGCUGCGUGUGGGAUGCCGGCUUGUGGGGAGUAAACCGCUUUCGCCUGAGACGAAGCGUGAGUGACGGUACUGGGUGAAUAAGCACCGGCUAACUACGUG